GUUGCAGCUGCCUGGCCAGCCCGAGAGACAGCGGAGAUUCAUUACCCGCCGACACAAUGACCAUUGAUGGCCCCGUGGCGUUAUUCAAAUCCAGUACCAAUUGCAGCCGAGCCCCUUUCUCCGCGCCAGGCCCGUAUUGUUGGAGCGGCCCACUAAAAGCCCGCCCCGGCCCCGAGCCGCCAGAGGCGCCCGCUCGGGUUCAGCCCUACGCCUCGGCAGCCCGCCGGCUCCCAGUCCGGCUCCCCGGGCGCUGCAGGUGACCCGGCGGCGCAUUCCAGCACUCCCCGCCGCCCGGGCCACCGCCGCCACCGCCACCGCAGGCGCCCCGGCCGCGACUCAGCCACAGGAAAGCGGAGAGCGCCCGAGCCGGUGCGUGCGCGGGGCUGGGCGGGGGCGGGGGACCCACGAAUCCAGUAGCCCGGACCCCGGGCUCGGAAACGCGACCCGGCCUGGGGCUCCUGCCUUCCGGAUUCCCGGAGAUCCCAGGCUGGGGGCAGGGAGAGGAGUCGGGGUUCCCCAGGCCAGACAGAGGAGAUUCCCCCUCAACCUGGGGCGGCGCUGAGACCCAACGCGGGCCACUCUGAGUACUCCGGGCCGCGAUCGAAGGAGCCACGCCAGGGGCGAUGGGGAUCCCCGCACAGGGUCAGGAUCCGCGUGCUUGCUAGUCCACCUUACCGCCGGAUGGGCAGCCGCUGCUGAGCGCCUGCUAGGUGGUCCGACGCGCAGCUCCGAGCUGUCCUGGACUGGCGCUUUUUAGGAGCGAAGGAGAACCCCGCAGGAGACCAGGGCCCUGAACUCAGGGGCUUCGCCACUGAUUGUCCAAACGCAAUUCUUGUACGAGUCUGCGGCCAACCGAGAAUUGUGGCUGGACAUCUGUGGCUGAGCUCCGGGCGCAACAGGGGCGGGGGCCGCAGGGACAGAGCUCAGCGCGGGCGAGACCUCUCGGGGCGGCGGCUGGCUGGCCCCAGCGCGAGGAUCGCGGUCCUGGCCCGCGCGCACAGAGACGCCGGUCCCUGCCACCAGCGCCGCCAUCCGCAGCCUCGUCCUUCUUCCUUCUCCUCUGCGGGUGACCAGUCCCGGCCAGCAGGGUCCUCCAGUCGAACGCGUCGUUUUUCCUCCUUUCAAAUUUCGGCCGGAACGAAGCCGGCACGCAGCGGCGGGGCCGAAUGUGGUCCGCCCUCAGCCCAAGCCGCAGGAAGACGGGGGUGAAAGAAGAGGCCGGCCGAAUGCGCUCGCUAACUCGUUUCGCAGUUGUUCUAACUUAUCACCCCAAUACUCCCUACCUAAACAAAACAAAUCCUCAACCAACCCCUAAAUCCCAAACAAACCAACCCCUCCCGCAAGCCCCUCCGGACGGACCGAUGGGCUGAGCCUCCUCCAGCGGCUGCCAGGGUCCGACGGGCAAGCGUCGCCAACGAUACGCUCCAGCCCGGCAAUCUCCUCGGCUUUGGAAAUAGAAUUUGGAAAAACGAAUCCUUUUCAUUAAAGAAAAAUCUUCGGAGAUA
RNAcentral lists this long non-coding RNA (1505 nucleotides) under Pongo abelii (Sumatran orangutan). Its description in RNAcentral is "lincRNA". The stretch from base 805 to 883 matches the Rfam family "mir-219 microRNA precursor family". The record is from RNAcentral. Lineage: Eukaryota; Metazoa; Chordata; Mammalia; Primates; Hominidae.